GGGCGCGUAGCUCAGUUGGUAGAGCAGCUGACUCUUAAUCAGCGGGUCCACAGUUCGAAUCUGUGCGCGCCCACCA
Molecule: transfer RNA, 76 nt
Filed under: Sulfobacillus thermosulfidooxidans
Lineage: Bacteria; Bacillati; Bacillota; Clostridia; Eubacteriales; Clostridiales Family XVII. Incertae Sedis
Also listed under: 2 other names
Description: tRNA-Lys
Rfam family: tRNA
About the family: Transfer RNA (tRNA) molecules are approximately 80 nucleotides in length. Their secondary structure includes four short double-helical elements and three loops (D, anti-codon, and T loops). Further hydrogen bonds mediate the characteristic L-shaped molecular structure. tRNAs have two regions of fundamental functional importance: the anti-codon, which is responsible for specific mRNA codon recognition, and the 3' end, to which the tRNAs corresponding amino acid is attached (by aminoacyl-tRNA synthetases). tRNAs cope with the degeneracy of the genetic code in two manners: having more than one tRNA (with a specific anti-codon) for a particular amino acid; and 'wobble' base-pairing, i.e. permitting non-standard base-pairing at the 3rd anti-codon position.
Source: RNAcentral